CAUCGAAAAUGGCAACUCAAAACGCCGUGCCUGUAGAAGAAGUCCAACAGAGAGUUGCAAUCUAGCAGAAUUUUGUGAAAUUCAGUUUCAGUAAUACUACAGUCACUACAGUGCACAACGGUACACACACUAUUAGUCGCAAGACCGGCCAUUGUUCAAAAAUGCCUUUCAACUAAAUUUCAAACAAAAAUCAACUUUAAAACUUUAAAAUUCUCAAAUUCUUCAAUCUUCAAAUUAAUUCUGUUUGAAUGUUUCAGCGAAACUGAUCGCGUAGGUGGUUAAGGAAGUGGUAAUGAUAGUACUGACAACUACGCGAAAAAUGUUGAUUGGCACGCCGGCGCAAAGUGCUGAACUAUCAUGGCGACCGUUUUGUUUUGGAAAUUGGUGAAAUUCAGAGGGUGAAAAGUGGUGGAAAAUGGCAUUUAAUCCAAAAAUUUAUACGAAAAAUAUUGUUUGUUACGAGAUUUUCUAUAAGAAAUCUGUAGUAGCAGCUAAUACAUGGCAGACCUUGGAGGAAACGGAGUAGAAGAUAGACGUCACAUCAAAGUACGACUCUACUAAAAGCAAAUUUUUCCCGAUUUUUGUAAAUCAGGUUUUGUGAAGUAGCUUUGUAAAAUAUGUAUUUCACAAAGCUGUUCAAAAAUUGGAUAAUAAAUAACAAAAUCAUACAAUUUAA
Dendroctonus ponderosae (mountain pine beetle) is the source of this 676-nucleotide long non-coding RNA. RefSeq lists it as uncharacterized. Lineage: Eukaryota; Metazoa; Arthropoda; Insecta; Coleoptera; Curculionidae. The record is from RefSeq and is a predicted model, not a curated record. The transcript is spliced from 2 exons.